CCCUUAGAUGUUCUGGGCUGCACGCGCGCUACACUGUCGGAUUCAGCGAGUCAUAUCCUUAACCGAAAGGUUUGGGUAAUCUUUUGAAAGUCCGACGUGAUGGGGAUUGAUCAUUGCAAUUAUUGAUCAUGAACGAGGAAUUCCUAGUAAGCGCGAGUCAUCAGCUCGCGUUGAUUACGUCCCUGCCCUUUGUACACACCGCCCGUCGCUACUACCGAUUGGAUGUUUAAGCGAGGUUCUCGAACUGCUAGUGACUGAUCUUCGGUGAGGUCGCAGUGUGGGAAGUGAACCUAGCUUUGGUGUCUAGAGGAAGUAAAAGUCGUAACA
RNAcentral lists this ribosomal RNA (327 nucleotides) under uncultured eukaryote. RNAcentral's name for it is "partial 18S ribosomal RNA". It matches the Rfam family "Eukaryotic small subunit ribosomal RNA", at positions 1470 to 1796 of the family's 1831-position model. The record is from RNAcentral.